Molecule: ribosomal RNA, 288 nt
Filed under: Triticum aestivum (bread wheat)
Lineage: Eukaryota; Viridiplantae; Streptophyta; Magnoliopsida; Poales; Poaceae
Description: partial small subunit ribosomal RNA
Source: RNAcentral
GUAGGUUGUAAUAAGGUCGUCACUAACUCUGAUAAUUUGGAAGUGGUGAAUACUAUGAAUGAGGGAGGAAGAUCGGCAGGACCAGCAGCAACAAUCUUCGACGACUGUUAUCACAUGGCAUGUGAUUUUCUUUAUACUUCCUUUGUGCAUUGCCCCAAAGAGGCAAAUAUGGUCGCCCAUGAACUGGCAAAUUUGGCAAAGGGGCCUUUAUGUAGUAGUUUCUUCGAUAAGACUCCUAGUGAACUUAUCCCGCUUUUACUCAGCGAUGUAACUCUUGUAACACCGUAA